GACGAACGCUGGCGGCGUGCUUAACACAUGCAAGUCGAACGGUGAAGCCCUUCGGGGUGGAUCAGUGGCGAACGGGUGAGUAACACGUGAGCAACCUGCCCCUGACUCUGGGAUAACUACCGGAAACGGUGGCUAAUACCGGAUAUUACUUGCCUGGGCAUCUGGGUGGGUGGAAAGUUUUUCGGUUGGGGAUGGGCUCGCGGCCUAUCAGCUUGUUGGGGGGGUGAUGGCCUACCAAGGCGACGACGGGUAGCCGGCCUGAGAGGGCGACCGGCCACACGGGGACUGAGACACGGCCCAGACUCCUACGGGAGGCAGCAGUGGGGAAUAUUGCGCAAUGGGCGAAAGCCUGACGCAGCGACGCCGCGUGGGGGAUGAAGGCCUUCGGGUUGUAAACCUCUUUCAGCAGGGAAGAAGCGUGAGUGACGGUACCUGCAGAAGAAGCACCGGCUAACUACGUGCCAGCCGCCGCCGUAA
RNAcentral lists this ribosomal RNA (477 nucleotides) under uncultured bacterium. RNAcentral describes it as "partial 16S ribosomal RNA". It matches the Rfam family "Bacterial small subunit ribosomal RNA", at positions 28 to 523 of the family's 1533-position model. The record is from RNAcentral.